RNAcentral lists this ribosomal RNA (252 nucleotides) under uncultured bacterium. RNAcentral describes it as "partial 16S ribosomal RNA". It matches the Rfam family "Bacterial small subunit ribosomal RNA", at positions 524 to 776 of the family's 1533-position model. The record is from RNAcentral.
UACGUAGGUCCCGAGCGUUGUCCGGAUUUAUUGGGCGUAAAGCGAGCGCAGGUGGUUUAUUAAGUCUGGUGUAAAAGGCAGUGGCUCAACCAUUGUAUGCAUUGGAAACUGGUAGACUUGAGUGCAGGAGUGGAGAGUGGAAUUCCAUGUGUAGCGGUGAAAUGCGUAGAUAUAUGGAGGAACACCGGUGGCGAAAGCGGCUCUCUGGCCUGUAACUGACACUGAGGCUCGAAAGCGUGGGGAGCAAACAGG